UGCGUAGGCGGUUUAAUAAGUCAGAGGUGAAAGCCCGCAGCUCAACUGUGGAAUUGCCUUUGAUACUGUUAGACUUGAAUCAGGUUGAGGUUGGCGGAAUGUGGCAUGUAGCGGUGAAAUGCAUAGAUAUGCCAUAGAACACCAAUUGCGAAGGCAGCUGACUAGACCUGUAUUGAUGCUGAGGCACGAAAGCGUGGGGAGCGAACAGGAUUAGAUACCCUGGUAGUC
RNAcentral lists this ribosomal RNA (228 nucleotides) under uncultured bacterium. Its description in RNAcentral is "partial 16S ribosomal RNA". It matches the Rfam family "Bacterial small subunit ribosomal RNA", at positions 568 to 795 of the family's 1533-position model. The record is from RNAcentral.